Molecule: long non-coding RNA, 1153 nt
Filed under: Homo sapiens (human)
Lineage: Eukaryota; Metazoa; Chordata; Mammalia; Primates; Hominidae
Description: HSALNT0341384
Source: RNAcentral
GGCCCGCGCUCCUACCUGUAGGUGGCCAACGCCGGGCGCUGGGCCGCCGCUCCUGCCUUGCACGUUAGAGAGCCGGUACAUGCAGGUGGGAAGCUCCACACGGAGAGGCGCGCCGCGCCCGUGAUAAGGUUUUACCUGGUACAUCGGCAUGGCGGAACCAAAGCAAGAGAGGGUGGCGCGUGCCAAACACCAACGCUCAGAAACCGUCCGAGGCUACGACUGGGGGCGGACAUCUCCCUUGUGACCCUGCUGCGGUCGUUCGGGAAAAAAAAAAAAAGCAGUCCGGUGUGCUCUGAUUGGCCCAUGCUCUUUGACGUCACGGACUCGACCUUUGACGGAGCUAAUAGGCGAAAAGGAGAGACGGGAAGUAUUUUUUCCGCCCCGCCCAGAAAGGGUGGAGCACAACGUCAAAAGCAGCCAAUGGGAGCCCAGGAGGCGGGGCGCCUGUGGGAGUCGUGGAGGGAACUUUCCCAGGCCCCGAGGCGGAUCGGGUAUUGAGUCCAUGGAGCGAGCUGAGAGCUAGAGUACAGAACCUGCUAAGGCCAUCAAACCUAUCGAUCGGAAGUCAGUCCAUCAGAUUUGCUCUGGGCCGGUGGUACUGAGUCUAAGCACUGCGGUGAAGGAGUUAGUAGAAAACAGUCUGGAUGCUGGUGCCACCAAUAUUGAUCUAAAGCUUAAGGACUAUGGAGUGGAUCUCAUUGAAGUUUCAGACAAUGGAUGUGGGGUAGAAGAAGAAAACUUUGAAGGCUUAACGAUGUCACCAUUUCUACCUGCCACGCAUCGGCGAAGGUUGGGACUCGACUGGUGUUUGAUCACGAUGGGAAAAUCAUCCAGAAAACCCCCUACCCCCACCCCAGAGGGACCACAGUCAGCGUGAAGCAGUUAUUUUCUACACUACCUGUGCACCAUAAGGAAUUUCAAAGGAAUAUUAAGAAGACAGAGUCUUCUCACUCUGUCGCCCAGGCUGGAGUGCAGUGGUGUGAUCUUGGCUCACUGCAACCUCUACCUCCUGGGUUCAAGUGAUUCUCCUGCCUCAGUCUCCCAAGUAGCUGGGAUUAUAGACGUGCCUGUUUCCCCUUCGCCUUCUGCCGUGAUUGUCAGUUUCCUGAGGCCUCCCCAGCCAUGCUUCCUGUACAGCCUGCAGAACUGUGAG